GUGACCCCGUGGGCCAUAGCCCGCCAGGCUCCUCUAUCCGUGGGAUUCUCCAGGCAAGAAUACUGGAGUGGGUUGCCAUGCCCUCCUCCAGGCGGUCUUCCUGACCCAGGGACAGAACCCAGGUCUCCUGCACUGCAGGCGACGCUUUACCGCCGAGUCGCCGGGAAAGCCGUGGAGGGGCACACACACACGUGAACCACUGUCGUCACUCGCAAUGGCUGCAAUGUUGGCCCCAGCCCAGCUCAGAGGGGCUGGCAGCCGGAUCUCGGGUGGAUGGAGUUCCUGCUACCUUAGGACCAGAGGAGACCCAGGACACCAAGGGUAAUUGGGGCAGCCUCACCAGCUAAGUGCCUCCCUCCUGCUUCUAAGGCUUCCACAUUCUAGAUCUGCAUCUCAGCAAAAUUACAGGUGGAGCUGACCUGUUUGCGGUGGAGUCUCUCUCCUCUAUGCAGAAGUCUGAAUAAAAUCUGUCUUGCCAUGAGUAAGACAUGUCCAGCUCCAUUUUUCUUUGACGAGACUUGGCUUCCUGACCUGGAAAAUGGAGAUAUGAGUGUUCUUCUUCUAUACGUUACUCUGUGAUUAUGACUAUACUCACAGUAACAGGUUGUGGCCAUUUGGACUGUCUCCUAAAGCAGAAACCACACUUGUUACACGUGCAAAUGUGAUUUGCAUUCAGUUGAUGGUGAACUGAAUAAGAGAAAGACUCCCAGGUACACAAAAGCAAAAGCAGCAGUUGAAAGUGGAACCGUUUAUCUCAGAUUGGGACUUGAAUCCAUGUGGCUGGGACUUGAACCCAGCUUAAACCCAGAGUGCCUGGUUUCAAGACCCAAUGAAGCUCAGGUUCUUGGUCUAUCAUUGCAGAAAUGAUUCAGUGAGAGACAAAGUGAUAGGUAAGAAAUGGAUUUAUUUGAAGAGGAACACACUCCAUAGACAGUGUGGACCAUCUCAGAGGGUGAGUCUGGCCACCUCAAAAUGUGGUGUGGUUAGUUUUUAUGGGCUGGGUAAUUUCAUAGGCUAAUGAGUGAGAGGAUUAUUCCAGCUAUUUUGGAGAAGGGGUGGAGAUUUCCAGGAGUUGGGCUACUGCCCACUUUUUGGUCUUUUGGUGGUACCUUGGAACUGUCAUGGUGCCUCUGAGUAUAUCAUUUAGCUUACUGAUAGAAGAUCAAGGUCUAAUCAAAGUUGAAUUGUCUGCCAUCUGGGACCCAUUGAUUCUAAUUGGUUUAUAUUAUAUCUCUGGGCUAUGUCGUUCUUUCAGAAGUUGUGCCCUGCUACCUUCCCUCCUGUUUCAAAAGCAUCUUUACAUUUGCCUGCUGCGAAGGAGAAUAUACAGGGGAUAUAGCUCAAAGUCCACAGUCCAGCCCAAGAUGGAGUCCGGCUUUCAAGAUGGAACCUGUUCUGUCUGUUUCCUCCUUCAAAACCACAGGGUGAGCCAGGACAAGUCUCUUCCAGUUACAAGUCCGGUCUGGCCCACACAGUUCUUCUUCCUGAAGGAGCGUGUCCACGUGCCCAGGGAGAUGACUUUCCCACAAGCUCUGCAGAGAGGAGUGAUUCCGAGAACAGCCAGAAGGUCUGGGUUGAAUUGAGCCCCACCACUAACUAGCUGGGUUAGGGCAAAUUACUUAACCACUGUGAGGAUCAGGUUCC
Long non-coding RNA from Bos taurus (domestic cattle), 1644 nucleotides. NCBI's taxonomy places the organism in Eukaryota, Metazoa, Chordata, Mammalia, Artiodactyla, Bovidae. The record is from Ensembl.